Molecule: ribosomal RNA, 497 nt
Filed under: uncultured bacterium
Lineage: Bacteria
Description: partial 16S ribosomal RNA
Rfam family: Bacterial small subunit ribosomal RNA
Source: RNAcentral
GACGAACGCUGGCGGCGUGCUUAACACAUGCAAGUCGAACGAACAGACGCGGCGCUUGCUUCUCUGAUGAUAGGCGCGGGCGGGAGAGACACGCGUGGAACCCCCCCCUAUCAGACUGGUAACAUCACGGAACUCCGGCUAUAACAGCGUAUAAUCUCUUGCAGCGCAUGGUGCAUAGGAGAGUUUCGGUCGUGCUGUCUGUUCUCGCUGGAUCUGAGCUGCAUUGGCUAGUUGGUAAGGUAAUGGCUUACCAAGGCAACGAUGCAUAGCCGACCUGAGAGGGUGAUCGGCCACACUGGAACUGAGACACGGUCCAGACUCCUACGGGAGGCAGCAGUAGGGAAUCGUCCGCAAUGGGCGAAAGCCUGACGGAGCAACGCCGCGUGAGUGAUGAAGGUCUUCGGAUCGUAAAACUCUGUUAUUAGGGAAGAACAUAUGUGUAAGUAACUGUGCACAUCUUGACGGUACCUAAUCAGAAAGCCACGGCUAACUACGUG